GAACUAAAGAGUUUGAUCCUGGCUCAGAUUGAACGCUGGCGGCAUGCUUUACACAUGCAAGUCGAACGGUAACAGGCCGCAAGGUGCUGACGAGUGGCGAACGGGUGAGUAAUGUAUCGGAACGUGCCCAGUCGUGGGGGAUAACGCAGCGAAAGCUGCGCUAAUACCGCAUACGAUCUAUGGAUGAAAGCGGGGGACCGUAAGGCCUCGCGCGAUUGGAGCGGCCGAUAUCAGAUUAGGUAGUUGGUGGGGUAAAGGCUCACCAAGCCAACGAUCUGUAGCUGGUCUGAGAGGACGACCAGCCACACUGGGACUGAGACACGGCCCAGACUCCUACGGGAGGCAGCAGUGGGGAAUUUUGGACAAUGGGCGCAAGCCUGAUCCAGCAAUG
RNAcentral lists this ribosomal RNA (391 nucleotides) under Hydrogenophaga sp. RNAcentral's name for it is "bacterial SSU rRNA". It matches the Rfam family "Bacterial small subunit ribosomal RNA", at positions 1 to 396 of the family's 1533-position model. Lineage: Bacteria; Pseudomonadati; Pseudomonadota; Betaproteobacteria; Burkholderiales; Comamonadaceae. The record is from RNAcentral.